RNAcentral lists this ribosomal RNA (497 nucleotides) under uncultured bacterium. RNAcentral describes it as "partial 16S ribosomal RNA". It matches the Rfam family "Bacterial small subunit ribosomal RNA", at positions 28 to 507 of the family's 1533-position model. The record is from RNAcentral.
GAUGAACGCUGGCGGCGUGCCUAAUACAUGCAAGUCGAGCGAACGGACGAGGAGCUUGCUCCUUUGACGUUAGCGGCGGACGGGUGAGUAACACGUGGAUAACCUACCUAUAAGACUGGGAUAACUUCGGGAAACCGGAGCUAAUACCGGAUAAUAUAUUGAACCGCAUGGUUCAAUAGUGAAAGACGGUUUUGCUGUCACUUAUAGAUGGAUCCGCGCCGCAUUAGCUAGUUGGUAAGGUAACGGCUUACCAGGGCAACGAUGCGUAGCCGACCUGAGAGGGGGGUCGGCCGCACGGGAACUUGAACGCCGUCCCGGCCACUGAGGGAGGGCGCAGACGGGAAUUUUACGCAAUGGGGGGAAGCCUUGCGGAGGCACCGCGCGGGAGUUGUGGAGGUCCUUCGAUCGUAAAAACCUGUUUUUAGGGAAGAACCAAUGUGUAAGGUAACAUUCCCGGCUUGACGGUAACUAAUCAAAAAGCCACGGCUAACUACGUG